CCUACGGGUGGCAGCAGUGAGGAAUAUUGGUCAAUGGACGAGAGUCUGAACCAGCCAAGUAGCGUGAAGGAUGACUGCCCUAUGGGUUGUAAACUUCUUUUAUAUGGGAAUAAAAUGUUCCACGUGUGGGAUUUUGUAUGUACCAUAUGAAUAAGGAUCGGCUAACUCCGUGCCAGCAGCCGCUGUAAUACGGAGGAUCCGAGCGUUAUCCGGAUUUAUUGGGUUUAAAGGGAGCGUAGGUGGAUUGUUAAGUCAGUUGUGAAAGUUUGCGGCUCAACCGUAAAAUUGCAGUUGAAACUGGCAGUCUUGAGUACAGUAGAGGUGGGCGGAAUUCGUGGUGUAGCGGUGAAAUGCUUAGAUAUCACGAAGAACUCCGAUUGCGAAGGCAGUUCACUGGACUGCCACUGACACUGAGGCUCGAAAGUGUGGGUAUCAAACAGGAUUAGAUACCCCAGUAGUC
Molecule: ribosomal RNA, 460 nt
Filed under: uncultured bacterium
Lineage: Bacteria
Description: partial 16S ribosomal RNA
Rfam family: Bacterial small subunit ribosomal RNA
Source: RNAcentral